Non-coding RNA from Camponotus floridanus (Florida carpenter ant), 72 nucleotides. NCBI's taxonomy places the organism in Eukaryota, Metazoa, Arthropoda, Insecta, Hymenoptera, Formicidae. The record is from Rfam.
GGCUGAAUAGCUCAGUGGUAAGAGCAGUCGUCUGGCAAGCAAAAGUCUUGGGUUCGAUUCCCGAUUCAGCGA